RNAcentral lists this ribosomal RNA (440 nucleotides) under uncultured bacterium. RNAcentral's name for it is "partial 16S ribosomal RNA". It matches the Rfam family "Bacterial small subunit ribosomal RNA", at positions 338 to 795 of the family's 1533-position model. The record is from RNAcentral.
CCUACGGGAGGCAGCAGUGGGGAAUAUUGCACAAUGGGGGAAACCCUGAUGCAGCGACGCCGCGUGAGUGAAGAAGUAAUUCGUUAUGUAAAGCUCUAUCAGCAGGGAAGAAAAUGACGGUACCUGAGUAAGAAGCCCCGGCUAACUACGUGCCAGCAGCCGCGGUAAGACGUAGGGGGCAAGCGUUAUCCGGAUUUACUGGGUGUAAAGGGAGCGUAGACGGCAGUGCAAGUCUGGAGUGAAAGGUGGGGGCUCAACCCCCGGACUGCUCUGGAAACUGUACGGCUGGAGUGCAGGUGAGGUAAGUGGAAUUCCUGGUGUAGCGGUGAAAUGCGUAGAAAUUAGGAGGAACACCAGUGGCGAGGGCGGCGUACUGGACUGUAACUGACGCUGAGGCUCGAAAGCGUGGGGAGCAAACAGGAUUAGAUACCCCUGUAGUC